This 1133-nucleotide ribosomal RNA is filed under the name Salmonella enterica subsp. enterica serovar Derby. RNAcentral describes it as "bacterial SSU rRNA". It matches the Rfam family "Bacterial small subunit ribosomal RNA", at positions 1 to 1123 of the family's 1533-position model. Lineage: Bacteria; Pseudomonadati; Pseudomonadota; Gammaproteobacteria; Enterobacterales; Enterobacteriaceae. The record is from RNAcentral.
AAAUUGAAGAGUUUGAUCAUGGCUCAGAUUGAACGCUGGCGGCAGGCCUAACACAUGCAAGUCGAACGGUAACAGGAAGCAGCUUGCUGCUUUGCUGACGAGUGGCGGACGGGUGAGUAAUGUCUGGGAAACUGCCUGAUGGAGGGGGAUAACUACUGGAAACGGUGGCUAAUACCGCAUAACGUCGCAAGACCAAAGAGGGGGACCUUCGGGCCUCUUGCCAUCAGAUGUGCCCAGAUGGGAUUAGCUUGUUGGUGAGGUAACGGCUCACCAAGGCGACGAUCCCUAGCUGGUCUGAGAGGAUGACCAGCCACACUGGAACUGAGACACGGUCCAGACUCCUACGGGAGGCAGCAGUGGGGAAUAUUGCACAAUGGGCGCAAGCCUGAUGCAGCCAUGCCGCGUGUAUGAAGAAGGCCUUCGGGUUGUAAAGUACUUUCAGCGGGGAGGAAGGUGUUGUGGUUAAUAACCACAGCAAUUGACGUUACCCGCAGAAGAAGCACCGGCUAACUCCGUGCCAGCAGCCGCGGUAAUACGGAGGGUGCAAGCGUUAAUCGGAAUUACUGGGCGUAAAGCGCACGCAGGCGGUCUGUCAAGUCGGAUGUGAAAUCCCCGGGCUCAACCUGGGAACUGCAUUCGAAACUGGCAGGCUUGAGUCUUGUAGAGGGGGGUAGAAUUCCAGGUGUAGCGGUGAAAUGCGUAGAGAUCUGGAGGAAUACCGGUGGCGAAGGCGGCCCCCUGGACAAAGACUGACGCUCAGGUGCGAAAGCGUGGGGAGCAAACAGGAUUAGAUACCCUGGUAGUCCACGCCGUAAACGAUGUCUACUUGGAGGUUGUGCCCUUGAGGCGUGGCUUCCGGAGCUAACGCGUUAAGUAGACCGCCUGGGGAGUACGGCCGCAAGGUUAAAACUCAAAUGAAUUGACGGGGGCCCGCACAAGCGGUGGAGCAUGUGGUUUAAUUCGAUGCAACGCGAAGAACCUUACCUGGUCUUGACAUCCACGGAAGUUUUCAGAGAUGAGAAUGUGCCUUCGGGAACCGUGAGACAGGUGCUGCAUGGCUGUCGUCAGCUCGUGUUGUGAAAUGUUGGGUUAAGUCCCGCAACGAGCGCAACCCUUAUCCUUUGUUGCCAGCG